UGGGGAAUAUUGCACAAUGGGCGCAAGCCUGAUGCAGCCAUGCCGCGUGUAUGAAGAAGGCCUUCGGGUUGUAAGGUACUUUCAGCGGGGAGGAAGGGAGUAAAGUUAAUACCUUUGCUCAUUGACGUUACCCGCAGAAGAAGCACCGGCUAACUCCGUGCCAGCAGCCGCGGUAAUACGGAGGGUGCAAGCGUUAAUCGGAAUUACUGGGCGUAAAGCGCACGCAGGCGGUUUGUUAAGUCAGAUGUGAAAUCCUCGGGCUCAACCUGGGAACUGCAUCUGAUACUGGCAAGCUUGAGUCUCGUAGAGGGGGGUAGAAUUCCAGGUGUAGCGGUGAAAUGCGUAGAGAUCUGGAGGAAUACCGGUGGCGAAGGCGGCCCCCUGGACGAAGACUGACGCUCAGGUGCGAAAGCGUGGGGAGCAAACAGG
This 429-nucleotide ribosomal RNA is filed under the name Chloroflexota bacterium. Its description in RNAcentral is "Chloroflexi bacterium partial 16S ribosomal RNA". It matches the Rfam family "Bacterial small subunit ribosomal RNA", at positions 355 to 776 of the family's 1533-position model. Lineage: Bacteria; Bacillati; Chloroflexota. The record is from RNAcentral.